Molecule: ribosomal RNA, 378 nt
Filed under: uncultured bacterium
Lineage: Bacteria
Description: bacterial SSU rRNA
Rfam family: Bacterial small subunit ribosomal RNA
Source: RNAcentral
GACGAACCGUGCGAACGUUAUUCGGAAUCAUUGGGCUUAAAGGGCGCGUAGGCGGCAACGUAAGUUGGAAGUGAAAUCCCAUCGGCUCAACCGUGGAAUCGCUCCCAGUACUGCGUUGCUAGUGCGAGAUAGGGGCCUGUGGAACUGCCGGUGGAGCGGUGAAAUGUGUUGAUAUCGGCGGGAACGCCAGUGCCGAAAGGGACAGGCUGGACCUUUGCAGACGCUGAAGCGCGAAAGCUAGGGUAGCGAACGGGAUUAGAUACCCCGGUAGUCCUAGCCUUAAACGAUGGGUACUGGGUAGAAAGUGUACCGAUAGCACCUUCUGCCGGAGCGAAAGCGUUAAGUACCCCGCCUGGGGAGUAUGGUCGCAAGGCUGAA